This 466-nucleotide ribosomal RNA is filed under the name uncultured bacterium. Its description in RNAcentral is "partial 16S ribosomal RNA". It matches the Rfam family "Bacterial small subunit ribosomal RNA", at positions 28 to 507 of the family's 1533-position model. The record is from RNAcentral.
GAUGAACGCUGGCGGCGUGCUUAACACAUGCAAGUCGAACGGAAAGGCUCCUGCUUGCAGGGGUACUCGAGUGGCGAACGGGUGAGUAACACGUGGGUGAUUUGCCCUGCACUUCGGGAUAAGCCUGGGAAACUGGGUCUAAUACCGGAUAGGACGAUGGUUUGGAUGCCAUUGUGGAAAGUUUUUUCGGUGUGGGAUGAGCUCGCGGCCUAUCAGCUUGUUGGUGGGGUAAUGGCCUACCAAGGCGUCGACGGGUAGCCGGCCUGAGAGGGUGUACGGCCACAUUGGGACUGAGAUACGGCCCAGACUCCUACGGGAGGCAGCAGUGGGGAAUAUUGCACAAUGGGCGCAAGCCUGAUGCAGCGACGCCGCGUGGGGGAUGACGGCCUUCGGGUUGUAAACUCCUUUCGCUAGGGACGAAGCGCAAGUGACGGUACCUGGAGAAGAAGCACCGGCUAACUACGUG